RNAcentral lists this long non-coding RNA (372 nucleotides) under Paramuricea clavata. Lineage: Eukaryota; Metazoa; Cnidaria; Anthozoa; Malacalcyonacea; Plexauridae. The record is from RNAcentral.
UAUAUACAGGGGCGUAGGAAGCACCUGGAGUUUGGGGGGGCACCGGCUUGUAGGGGCACAUUACUAUCGGAAAGGGCACCUAAAAAAUUUUUCCCGGAAAUGUUGUCGACGGGGGGGGGAGGGGGGGGGGGGGAGAAAUUUCUCCUGAGGAAAAUUUUCCGUCGUAUCAUACCGAAAUUUAUGUUUGUGACCUAAUUUUUAAAAAAAAAUUGUAAAUUUCCACACAAAAACGGCACCUAUUGUUUUAAUUUAGUAUUUACAGCGACAUUAGCUUCUACAAAAGGGGCACUUUCCCUCACAAAAAAGGGCACUUUUCAACACAAAAAGGGCACUUUUUAUCACAAAAAAGGGCACUUUUAGUCCUUUAAAAAA